RNAcentral lists this transfer RNA (74 nucleotides) under freshwater metagenome. RNAcentral's name for it is "tRNA-Thr". It matches the Rfam family "tRNA". Rfam says of the family: Transfer RNA (tRNA) molecules are approximately 80 nucleotides in length. RNAcentral also lists the same sequence under 1 other name. The record is from RNAcentral.
GCCCGGGUAGCUCAGUCGGCAGAGCGGCUCACUCGUAAUGAGCAGGUCAGGAGUUCGAUUCUCCUCUCGGGCUC